UGCGGACAACAACUGGUGCAAAAGUAUAUGUGGGAGUUUUGUGUAUAUUAUAGUAAAAUUUAUAAUCAUUUCUUACUUAUUGCAAAAAUGUCCACUCUGCUGUUGAACAACAUAGAGGAAAUUAGGAAUCCUCAAACAUGAAGACAAACAGACACAGAAAGAAAGCCAACAUAUAAAGAUGGCAAACAUUGAAACAUAUUGAUGUUUUGAAUCAACUAGACCCAAA
Molecule: unclassified non-coding RNA, 226 nt
Filed under: Hevea brasiliensis (rubber tree)
Lineage: Eukaryota; Viridiplantae; Streptophyta; Magnoliopsida; Malpighiales; Euphorbiaceae
Source: RNAcentral